AUUGAACGCUGGCGGCAUGCCUUACACAUGCAAGUCGAACGGCAGCACGGGUGCUUGCACCUGGUGGCGAGUGGCGAACGGGUGAGUAAUACAUCGGAACAUGUCCUGUAGUGGGGGAUAGCCCGGCGAAAGCCGGAUUAAUACCGCAUACGAUCUACGGAUGAAAGCGGGGGACCUUCGGGCCUCGCGCUAUAGGGUUGGCCGAUGGCUGAUUAGCUAGUUGGUGGGGUAAAGGCCUACCAAGGCGACGAUCAGUAGCUGGUCUGAGAGGACGACCAGCAACACGGGGAAGGAGAAACGGCAAAGACUCCUAAGGGAGGCAGAAGGGGGGAAUUUUGAAAAAGGGGAGAAAGAAUGAACGAGAAAGGCCGCGUGAGGGAAGAAGGCUUGCGGUUAGUAAAGAAUUUUUGUGAGGAAAGAAAGCUUGGGCCCAAAAAGGGGCGGGGAGUGACGGUACAGAAAAAAAAAGCCCCGGAUAACUACGUG
Molecule: ribosomal RNA, 486 nt
Filed under: uncultured bacterium
Lineage: Bacteria
Description: partial 16S ribosomal RNA
Rfam family: Bacterial small subunit ribosomal RNA
Source: RNAcentral